UACGAAGGGGGCUAGCGUUGCUCGGAAUCACUGGGCGUAAAGCGCACGUAGGCGGACUCUUAAGUCAGGGGUGAAAUCCCGGAGCUCAACUCCGGAACUGCCUUUGAUACUGGCGAUCUUGAGAUCGGAAGAGGUGAGUGGAAUUCCCAGUGUAGAGGUGAAAUUCGUAGAUAUUGGGAAGAACACCAGUGGCGAAGGCGGCUCACUGGUCCGAUACUGACGCUGAGGUGCGAAAGCGUGGGGAGCAAACAGG
This 253-nucleotide ribosomal RNA is filed under the name uncultured bacterium. Its description in RNAcentral is "partial 16S ribosomal RNA". It matches the Rfam family "Bacterial small subunit ribosomal RNA", at positions 524 to 776 of the family's 1533-position model. The record is from RNAcentral.